This 536-nucleotide ribosomal RNA is filed under the name uncultured Alphaproteobacteria bacterium. RNAcentral describes it as "bacterial SSU rRNA". It matches the Rfam family "Bacterial small subunit ribosomal RNA", at positions 349 to 903 of the family's 1533-position model. Lineage: Bacteria; Pseudomonadati; Pseudomonadota; Alphaproteobacteria. The record is from RNAcentral.
CAGCAGUGGGGAAUCUUAGACAAUGGGCGCAAGCCUGAUCUAGCCAUGCCGCGUGUGUGAUGAAGGUCUUAGGAUCGUAAAGCACUUUCGCCAGGGAUGAUAAUGACAGUACCUGGUAAAGAAACCCCGGCUAACUCCGUGCCAGCAGCCGCGGUAAUACGGAGGGGGUUAGCGUUGUUCGGAAUUACUGGGCGUAAAGCGUACGUAGGCGGAUCAGAAAGUUGGGGGUGAAAUCCCGGGGCUCAACCCCGGAACUGCCUCCAAAACUCCUGGUCUUGAGUUCGAGAGAGGUGAGUGGAAUUCCAAGUGUAGAGGUGAAAUUCGUAGAUAUUUGGAGGAACACCAGUGGCGAAGGCGGCUACUGGCUCGNAUACUGACGCUGAGGUACGAAAGUGUGGGGAGCAAACAGGAUUAGAUACCCUGGUAGUCCACACCGUAAACGAUGAAUGCCAGUCGUCGGGCAGUAUACUGUUCGGUGACACACCUAACGGAUUAAGCAUUCCGCCUGGGGAGUACGGUCGCAAGAUUAAAACUCA